RNAcentral lists this ribosomal RNA (253 nucleotides) under uncultured bacterium. Its description in RNAcentral is "partial 16S ribosomal RNA". It matches the Rfam family "Bacterial small subunit ribosomal RNA", at positions 524 to 776 of the family's 1533-position model. The record is from RNAcentral.
UACGUAGGGUGCGAGCGUUAAUCGGAAUUACUGGGCGUAAAGCGUGCGUAGGCGGUUUCGCAAGUCCGCUGUGAAAGCCCCGGGCUUAACCUGGGAAUGGCAGUGGAAACUAUGGGACUUGAAUCUGGCAGAGGGGGGUGGAAUGCCACGUGUAGCAGUGAAAUGCGUAGAGAUGUGGCGGAACACCGAUGGCGAAGGCAGCCCCCUGGGCUAGCACUGACGCUGAUACACGAAAGCGUGGGGAGCAAACAGG